AAUAUUUUUUGGGGCCCCUGUCAGUUGUGGGCUCAUGGAAUUGUCCUAACUUUCCCCCCCCUAUACGGCGUCCCUGGACAGGACACAUUCUUCUGCAGCUUUCAGGUAUGCAGUGAAAAUGAACAGACUGUGCAAAGUAUGUAACUUCACCAAAGGUGGCCUGCAUUGUUCAGUGAGCCUCAGGUGAGAAUGUUUGAUCAUUUGUGUUUCCACCAAGAAACAUUCAUUUGUUUUUUUUAAACUCUGAGAACUGGUGUCUGUCAUUGAAAGUUUCCUAUACUGUCCCUUCACUCAUUCACUAGAUCAAAGAAGAGCUCCGUCGUAUAACAACAAUUUCCUUGGAGGAGACAUUUAUGAGGAAACUUGAUGGGUACACACCACGUCUUCUGAAGCUGAUGCGUGCAAAAGGAGGUGCUGCUAGUUCCAGGAUGCAUCCUCUACUGGACACUUUAAAUUAGGACGAAUGUGAGGACUGCACAGACCAAACCAUGAAGGUAAUUGUCAUCCAUGAUGUCAUGGCUGAGGAGGAUCCAGCAGAAGUGGCCAUUGUCAUUGAGGGACACCAAGUGCUGACUGGGUGUGAAAACCGAACCAAGGCAUGUGUGCUGCUCAUGGGGUUGAUCUAUGCCCUCAACCUUGAGUAUCCCAAGACACUGAAAAAUACCUUGGAAGUAUUCCAGAAACUUUUUCUGGAGCUUGACGGAGCAAAGCCUCUCAAGAAGGUCCACAGCCUCAAAAGCAAGCUCAUGGAAUUAACUGUUUAUAUGAAAGUUCUGGCAUGCUUGACAUUUAUAAGUCUCCUCUUCCUCUUCCUCUUCCCUUCCCUAUUGUACACUGGACAAGGUUUGCUUUUAUUGCACAACAUUGCUUUACUUCCUUCAAAGCAGAUUAAGAAAAUGUGAUCAAAUCAUAUAACCUCACGCAGCAACCUGUAGAAAAUGAUGAGGUGUUAUGUGUAUAACCCUUGUGCAAUGCAAACUCACUAUUUUAGAGUGACUGACUAUAGCUUUAUUAUGUGUGAAAUCAUCUGUAUGUUGGACAAAGUUUGCUGUGAGGUAGCACUUUACACUCUCCAUUUCUUGUUUUGUUGCACAUUUUCUUGUUCUGUGGUGCAAAUUUGUCUUAGUUCCUUCAAAAUAAGUAAAGAAAUGUGAUAAAACUGUAUCAUAAACUCACACAGCAACCUGAAAUUAUCUUUAUAUUAGACAAAGUUUGCUGUCAGGUGCACUUCAAGCUCUGAAUUUCUUGUUCUAUUGCCACACUUCCUGUAAGAAAAUGUCAUAGUAGCAUAAACUCCUCAUACUACAGACAACGAUGAAGCUAUGCAUGCAUAUGUACAUGAACUGUAUUUUGGACACAUUUUGCUGUCAGGGCCACUUUAAACUUUAAAUGUAAAGUUUUAUUGCA
This is a long non-coding RNA of Larimichthys crocea (large yellow croaker), 1407 nucleotides long. RefSeq lists it as uncharacterized. The record is from RefSeq and is a predicted model, not a curated record. Lineage: Eukaryota; Metazoa; Chordata; Actinopteri; Sciaenidae. The transcript is spliced from 2 exons.